GACGAACGCUGGCGGCGUGCUUAACACAUGCAAGUCGUACGGUAAGGCCCUUUCGGGGGUACACGAGUGGCGAACGGGUGAGUAACACGUGAGUAACCUGCCCACAACUUUGGGAUAACGCUAGGAAACUGGUGCUAAUACUGGAUAUGUGCUCCUGCUGCAUGGUGGGGGUUGAAAGCUCCGGCGGUUGUGGAUGGACUCGCGGCCUAUCAGCUUGUUGGUGGGGUAGUGGCCUACCAAGGCGGCGACGGGUAGCCGGCCUGAGAGGGUGACCGGCCACAUUGGGACUGAGAUACGGCCCAGACUCCUACGGGAGGCAGCAGUGGGGAAUAUUGCACAAUGGGCGCAAGCCUGAUGCAGCAACGCCGCGUGCGGGAUGACGGCCUUCGGGUUGUAAACCGCUUUCAGCAGGGACGAAGCUUUUUGUGACGGUACCUGCAGAAGAAGCACCGGCUAACUACGUG
This 464-nucleotide ribosomal RNA is filed under the name uncultured bacterium. RNAcentral's name for it is "partial 16S ribosomal RNA". It matches the Rfam family "Bacterial small subunit ribosomal RNA", at positions 28 to 507 of the family's 1533-position model. The record is from RNAcentral.